This 431-nucleotide ribosomal RNA is filed under the name uncultured bacterium. Its description in RNAcentral is "bacterial SSU rRNA". It matches the Rfam family "Bacterial small subunit ribosomal RNA", at positions 29 to 506 of the family's 1533-position model. The record is from RNAcentral.
ACGAACGCUGGCGGCAUGCCUAAUACAUGCAAGUCGAACGAACUCUUCGGAGUUAGUGGCGCACGGGUGCGUAACGCGUGGGAAUCUGCCCCUUGGUUCGGAAUAACAGUUGGAAACGACUGCUAAUACCGGAUGAUGACGAAAGUCCAAAGAUUUAUCGCCAAGGGAUGAGCCCGCGUAGGAUUAGCUAGUUGGUGAGGUAAAGGCUCACCAAGGCAACGAUCCUUAGCUGGUCUGAGAGGAUGAUCAGCCACACUGGGACUGAGACACGGCCCAGACUCCUACGGGAGGCAGCAGUAGGGAAUAUUGGACAAUGGGCGAAAGCCUGAUCCAGCAAUGCCGCGUGAGUGAUGAAGGCCUUAGGGUUGUAAAGCUCUUUUACCCGAGAUGAUAAUGACAGUAUCGGGAGAAUAAGCCCCGGCUAACUCCGU